UCUCGCGUGGUAGUCGUCCGGCGGUGCGACGGCGCCACGGCCGCGUCCGGCUCCUUCUCGGCCACGACCCUGAGUGACGACGAACCGGUUCGCCGCCGGUAAAAGGGUCGAAUUUCGAUCGACAUUUUUUCCCAUUCGGCGUCCGACCCGCGGGGGAGUCACGUGGUGCAGCAGCUGUAAGUGGAUGCAGAUCGAAAGCCGCAGGUCGACGGGGACGAUCGCACCGCCAGAUGGCACUGGUGUAGAGUGGACUGUGAAGGGGUACCUAUGACUACGACAGGACUACGAUUCGGAAACGCUUUGGAAUGUGGAAAACACAUUUGUGUGAAAAACAAUGAACGUGUUCAAAUAAUAUAUCGAAAUGCCUUUAAUAUCACAUGCGAGAUUAUAGAAGAGGUCGACUCAAGGCGACGACAGCGGGAACAAACCAAUUUUUAUCUACCUACAUACAUAUAUAAGGUACCUAUAUUUUAAUAUAUUCCGUGCGUGAUCGCUAUAACAUUUAAAAAAAAAAAACGACAGUUGUUGUUUUGGGACACGGAAAACACAGGAAGUCUCUAAGUUGUGUGUGUGAGUU
Molecule: long non-coding RNA, 577 nt
Organism: Myzus persicae (green peach aphid)
Lineage: Eukaryota; Metazoa; Arthropoda; Insecta; Hemiptera; Aphididae
Exons: 3
Source: RefSeq, a predicted model, not a curated record